RNAcentral lists this ribosomal RNA (529 nucleotides) under uncultured bacterium. Its description in RNAcentral is "bacterial SSU rRNA". It matches the Rfam family "Bacterial small subunit ribosomal RNA", at positions 957 to 1509 of the family's 1533-position model. The record is from RNAcentral.
CAACGCGCAGAACCUUACCAACCCUUGACAUUACAGGACCGGCCCAGAGAUGGGUCUUUCACUUCGGUGACCUGUGGACAGGUGCUGCAUGGCUGUCGUCAGCUCGUGUCGUGAGAUGUUCGGUUAAGUCCGGCAACGAGCGCAACCCACGUCCCCAGUUGCCAGCAUUCAGUUGGGCACUCUGUGGAAACUGCCGAUGAUAAGUCGGAGGAAGGUGUGGAUGACGUCAAGUCCUCAUGGCCCUUACGGGUUGGGCUACACACGUGCUACAAUGGUGGUGACAGUGGGUUAAUCCCCAAAAGCCAUCUCAGUUCGGAUUGUCCUCUGCAACUCGAGGGCAUGAAGUUGGAAUCGCUAGUAAUCGCGGAACAGCAUGCCGCGGUGAAUACGUUCCCGGGCCUUGUACACACCGCCCGUCACACCAUGGGAAUUGGUUCUACCCGACGACGCUGCGCUAACCUUCGGGAGGCAGGCGGCCACGGUAGGAUCAGUGACUGGGGUGAAGUCGUAACAAGGUAGGCGUAGUGCU